CUAAGUUUGAUGGCGACCGGCGCACGGGUGAGUAACACGUAUCCAACCUGCCGAUGACUCGGGGAUAGCCUUUCGAAAGAAAGAUUAAUACCCGAUGGCAUAGUUCUUCCGCAUGGUAGAACUAUUAAAGAAUUUCGGUCAUCGAUGGGGAUGCGUUCCAUUAGGUUGUUGGCGGGGUAACGGCCCACCAAGCCUUCGAUGGAUAGGGGUUCUGAGGGGAAGGUCCCCCACAUUGGAACUGAGACACGGUCCAA
Molecule: ribosomal RNA, 254 nt
Filed under: uncultured bacterium
Lineage: Bacteria
Description: partial 16S ribosomal RNA
Rfam family: Bacterial small subunit ribosomal RNA
Source: RNAcentral